CCAUUCCGAGUCCGGCGGACGAACUUCGCCCGCGCCCCCCACCAAGGCUAUAGCCCACCCGUUUUUUGGCCAUUUUUCCGCUGGGGGGUUUUCGCACCACGACCUUCGGGCGCUUAUUUUUGGGCGCGGCUUUGCCCGCGGCUUAUUUUUGGCACCCCGAGGCCCCUCGCAAAGUCUCGCCCCAUUCCGAGUCCGGCGGACGAAGUUCGCCCGCGCCCCCCACCAAGGCUAUAGCCCACCCGUUUUUUGGCCAUUCUUCCGCUGGGGGGUUUUGGCACCACGACGUUCGGGCGCUUAUUUUUGGGCGCGGCUUUGCCCGUGGCUUAUUUUUGGCACCCCGACGCCCCUCGCAAAGUCUCGCCCCAUUCCGAGUCCGGCGGACGAACUUCGCCCGCGCCCCCCACCAAGGCUAUAGCCCACCCGUUUUUUGGCCAUUUUUCCGCUGGGGGGUUUGGCACCACGACCUUCGGGCGCUUAUUUUUUUGCGCGGCUUAUUUUUGGCACCCCGAGGCCCCUCGCAAAGUCUCGCCCCAUUCCGAGUCCGGCGGACGAAGUUCGCCCGCGCCCCCCACCAAGGCUAUAGCCCACCCGUUUUUUGGCCAUUUUUCCGCUGGGGGGUUUUGGCACCACGACCUUCGGGCGCUUAUUUUUGGGCGCGGCUUUGCCCGCGGCUUAUUUUUGGCACCCCGAGGCCCCUCGCAAAGUCUC
Molecule: long non-coding RNA, 708 nt
Filed under: Citrus x clementina
Lineage: Eukaryota; Viridiplantae; Streptophyta; Magnoliopsida; Sapindales; Rutaceae
Description: Citrus clementina (C. clementina) long non-coding RNA (CCLE_LNC002190)
Source: RNAcentral